AACGAACGCUGGCGGCAUGCCUAACACAUGCAAGUCGAACGAAGCCUUCGGGCUUAGUGGCGCACGGGUGCGUAACGCGUGGGAAUCUGCCCUUGGGUACGGAAUAACAGUGAGAAAUUGCUGCUAAUACCGUAUGAUGUCUUCGGACCAAAGAUUUAUCGCCCAGGGAUGAGCCCGCGUAGGAUUAGCUGGUUGGUGAGGUAAAGGCUCACCAAGGCUACGAUCCUUAGCUGGUCUGAGAGGAUGAUCAGCCACACUGGGACUGAGACACGGCCCAGACUCCUACGGGAGGCAGCAGUGGGGAAUAUUGCACAAUGGGCGCAAGCCUGAUGCAGCAACGCCGCGUGAGGGACGACGGCC
This 360-nucleotide ribosomal RNA is filed under the name uncultured bacterium. RNAcentral's name for it is "bacterial SSU rRNA". It matches the Rfam family "Bacterial small subunit ribosomal RNA", at positions 29 to 416 of the family's 1533-position model. The record is from RNAcentral.